RNAcentral lists this ribosomal RNA (295 nucleotides) under Blastocystis hominis. RNAcentral's name for it is "partial 18S ribosomal RNA". It matches the Rfam family "Eukaryotic small subunit ribosomal RNA", at positions 62 to 369 of the family's 1831-position model. Lineage: Eukaryota; Bigyra; Opalinata; Blastocystidae. The record is from RNAcentral.
AGUAUAAAUAAUUCUACUUUGAAACUGCGAAUGGCUCAUUAUAUCAGUUAUAGUUUAUUAAAAAAAAUGUACUACUUGGAUAACCGUAGUAAUUCUAGGGCUAAUACAUGAGUAAAUCCUCGACUUUGAAAAGGGGUGUUUAUUAAUAUGAAAACCAUAUGCUUCGGCAUGAUAGGGAGUAAUAAUAACCUUUCAUAUCGUAUGUUGAAAUAACGAUAGUUCUUUCAAGUUUCUGCCCUAUCAGCUUUCGAUGGUAGUGUAUUGGACUACCAUGGCAGUAACGGGUAACGAAGAA